GACGAACGCUGGCGGCGUGCUUAACACAUGCAAGUCGAACGGAAAGUCCCUGCUUUUGUGGGGUGCUCAAGUGGCGAACGGGGGAGUAAAACGUUAGUAACCUGCCCUUGACUUUGGGAUAACUUCAGGAAACUGGGGCUAAUACAGGAGAGAAUCUCCUGCUGCAGUGUGGGGGUUGGAAAGUUUGGGUGGUUGGGGAUGGACUCGGGGGUUGUCGGCUGGUUGGGGGGGGAGUUGGUUACCAAGGGUUUGAAGGGUAGCCGGCCUGAGCGGGUGACCGGCCACAUUGCUACUGCGAUACGGACCAGACUCCUACGGGCGGCAGUAGUGGGGAAUAUUGCACAAUGGGGGGAAGCCUGAUGCAGCAACGCCCCGUGCGGGAUGAUGGCUUUCUGGUUGUAAACCGCGUUCGCAUGUGACGAAGCGUGAGUGACGGUAAUGGGUAAAGAAGCAACGGCUAACUACGUG
RNAcentral lists this ribosomal RNA (468 nucleotides) under uncultured bacterium. RNAcentral's name for it is "partial 16S ribosomal RNA". It matches the Rfam family "Bacterial small subunit ribosomal RNA", at positions 28 to 507 of the family's 1533-position model. The record is from RNAcentral.